GACGGGGGGUGCAAGCGUUAUACGGAAUCACUGGGCGUAAAGCGUCUGUAGGUGGUGAUGCAAGUCACUGGUGCAAAACUCUGGCUCAACCGGAGGAAAGCCAGUGAAACUGCAUGACUAGAGUGUGGGAGAGGUAGAAGGAAUUCCCUGAGUAGCGGUGAAAUGCGUAGAUACAGGGAAGAACACCGGAGGCGAAAGCGUUCUACUGGAACACAACUGACUCUGAGAGACGAAAGCUAGGGGAGCGAAUGGG
This 253-nucleotide ribosomal RNA is filed under the name uncultured bacterium. RNAcentral's name for it is "partial 16S ribosomal RNA". It matches the Rfam family "Bacterial small subunit ribosomal RNA", at positions 524 to 776 of the family's 1533-position model. The record is from RNAcentral.